Cyprinodon variegatus (sheepshead minnow) is the source of this 234-nucleotide long non-coding RNA. RefSeq lists it as uncharacterized. The record is from RefSeq and is a predicted model, not a curated record. Lineage: Eukaryota; Metazoa; Chordata; Actinopteri; Cyprinodontiformes; Cyprinodontidae. The transcript is spliced from 3 exons.
GACUGAUAAGGGCACACAGCAACGUGCUCUUCUGGAGGGAUUUUCUACACUAUUCUAGAUCUUCAGUUAUAUUGGAAGUUCAAAAGCGGCUGUCUCUGUGAAACCUCUGCUAUGGAGCAGCCAGGGCCAACAGGGCAACCUGAGGCCCAGGCCAAACCUCAGAGCUCUGCGUCCUCUGACCAGGUGUCUGUCAGAAGUCUUCGACUUUUAUUUGAACGUCCUGCUGAUGGAAGG